Molecule: long non-coding RNA, 212 nt
Organism: Telopea speciosissima
Lineage: Eukaryota; Viridiplantae; Streptophyta; Magnoliopsida; Proteales; Proteaceae
Exons: 2
Source: RefSeq, a predicted model, not a curated record
AUUUUUUCAGUAAGGCAAAGAACAUAUAUUUCUGACGGCUAGAAAAGAUUGAUCCCGGGUCAACAUUUCACAGCAAGAAGUGAAUAUGAUGAAGACUCACCUUUUCUUUGCUUCCAGCACUUCCAACCACAUAACAACCCAUUAACUUAGCAAACUGUCCGACAAGUUGGCCAACUGCACCAGAUGCAGCAGAUAUGAACACAUUUUCUCCU